UUUCCAACGGGAGGCAGCAGUCGGGAAUAUUGCGCAAUGGAGGAAACUCUGACGCAGUGACGCCGCGUGCAGGAAGAAGGUUUUCGGAUUGUAAACUGCUUUAGAUAGGGAAGAAAAAAAUGACAGUACCUAUAGAAUAAGCUCCGGCUAACUACGUGCCAGCAGCCGCGGUAAUACGUAGGGGGCAAGCGUUAUCCGGAUUUACUGGGUGUAAAGGGAGCGUAGACGGAGGAGCAAGUCUGAUGUGAAAAUCC
RNAcentral lists this ribosomal RNA (254 nucleotides) under uncultured bacterium. RNAcentral describes it as "partial 16S ribosomal RNA". It matches the Rfam family "Bacterial small subunit ribosomal RNA", at positions 335 to 603 of the family's 1533-position model. The record is from RNAcentral.